This 58-nucleotide transfer RNA is filed under the name Vitis vinifera (wine grape). It matches the Rfam family "tRNA", at positions 8 to 63 of the family's 71-position model. Rfam says of the family: Transfer RNA (tRNA) molecules are approximately 80 nucleotides in length. Their secondary structure includes four short double-helical elements and three loops (D, anti-codon, and T loops). The record is from Rfam by way of RNAcentral. Lineage: Eukaryota; Viridiplantae; Streptophyta; Magnoliopsida; Vitales; Vitaceae.
UAACUCAGUUGGUAGAGUGCAAGACUCUCAACCUUGUGGUCAUGGGUUCGAACCCCAC